UCCUGCCUCAGCCUCCUGAGCAGCUGAGACUACAGGCUACAGGCUAAUGGUCCAUUAUGCCACCAGCCAUGUGGAAAUAACGUCCCAGGGCUGCCUCAUCUGACUUCCUUUUUCCCAAGACAAUACUUCUGGGUUCUGUGGAAGAGGACAUUCUUGAUUUGAAUGUUGGGCUUACGAGCAUCCUAAUUCUUACAAGUUCUUGCAACAGCAAUUUCACUACUAAAUAACAUCAGCAAAAGGUAAUGGGGUAGGUGGGAU
Molecule: long non-coding RNA, 258 nt
Organism: Macaca mulatta (Rhesus monkey)
Lineage: Eukaryota; Metazoa; Chordata; Mammalia; Primates; Cercopithecidae
Source: RefSeq, a predicted model, not a curated record